RNAcentral lists this long non-coding RNA (491 nucleotides) under Ananas comosus (pineapple). RNAcentral describes it as "long non-coding RNA (ACOM_LNC024855)". Lineage: Eukaryota; Viridiplantae; Streptophyta; Magnoliopsida; Poales; Bromeliaceae. The record is from RNAcentral.
CAAAAGGCUGAAGGCCUAAGGGGUCUGAAUUCUGAACCUUCUAAUCUGCUAUUCAGAAAUAUCAAAUAUCUGCGCAAGUCAGUGCUGGUAAUUAACAUGCCUGCUACUUAUCACUCUUCCGUUUUUGCGUCACCACCACCACUUCCAUCAUCUUGCGCAGGUCAAAUUCCAGACCUUCUAAUCUGCUUCUAGAAAUACCAAUCAUCUACGCAAACAAACCUAUAAACCCCACUCCAAAAAAUCUUUUCUACAUUUGUAGCUUAUUUCACUACUCCAAUGGCUAAAAGCCGGCGUGCAAGGGGUCUGAAUUUCGGACCUUCGAAUCUACUAUUCCGGACCUUCGAAUCUUAAUUGAUUCACAUUUUUAACUAAGUUAAUUUUUAAAUAAAAUAAAACAAAGCGUGUAGCAUGCUACCUAUCUCUCUCUCAAAAAAAAAAAAAAAUCAAAUAUCUAGGCAAGUCAGUGGUGCUAACUAACAUGUCUGUCACUU